GGGAGAGUACGGGUCUGGUGGCUCGCACGGUCUUCAAAACCGCUGAGGUCUUCGCAAGGAGACUGCUAGGUUCGAUUCCUAGACUUUCCCGCCA
The sequence is a transfer RNA, 94 nucleotides long. It matches the Rfam family "Selenocysteine transfer RNA".